Long non-coding RNA from Antechinus flavipes (yellow-footed antechinus), 449 nucleotides. RefSeq lists it as uncharacterized. The record is from RefSeq and is a predicted model, not a curated record. NCBI's taxonomy places the organism in Eukaryota, Metazoa, Chordata, Mammalia, Dasyuromorphia, Dasyuridae. The transcript has 5 exons.
GUCACCUUCCGGAUAGAAGAGAUCCCUCUCGACCCGUCAUAUGAAUGCAUCUACAACAGAGCAGCCCAGCUGUGGGCAGAGGCAUUAGUGGUGUUCCAGCGGGCAGCAGAGUGGAUUGGCCUGGAAUCCCGCAAGUCCCUCUGGGGUCAGUUCUGGUCCGCCCAUCAGCGCUUCUUCAAAUAUCUCUGCAUCGCCGCCAAAGUCCGUCGCUUGGUUGAGCUUGCAACAGAGGAGCUGGCAAAGGGCAAGUGCAUAGUCAUUGGGCUGCAGUCUACAGGAGAAGCUCGAACCCGAGAGGUCCUGGAUGAGAAUGAUGGGCACUUGAACUGCUUUGUCUCUGCUGCAGAAGGCGUCUUUCUAUCACUAAUUCAGAAGCACUUUCCUUCAACCAAAAGAAAGAGAGACAAAGGAACUGGCAUUAAAAGAAAACGGAAGCCCAAAGGCCGGCC